AGAAUGAACGCUGGCGGCAUGCCUAACACAUGCAAGUCGAACGAGGUAUCGUCUUCGGAUGGUGUCUAGUGGCGCACGGGUGCGUAACGCGUGGGAAUCUGCCCCUUGGUUCGGAGUAACAGCGAGAAAUUGCUGCUAAUACCGGAUAAUGACGUAAGUCCAAAGAUUUAUCGCCUAGGGAUGAGCCCGCGUAGGAUUAGCUAGUUGGUGUGGUAAAGGCGCACCAAGGCGACGAUCCUUAGCUGGUCUGAGAGGAUGAUCAGCCACACUGGGACUGAGACACGGCCCAGACUCCUACGGGAGGCAGCAGUGGGGAAUAUUGGACAAUGGGCGAAAGCCUGAUCCAGCAAUGCCGCGUGAGUGAUGAAGGCCUUAGGGUUGUAAAGCUCUUUUACCCGGGAUGGAUAAUGACAGUACCGGGAGAAUAAGCUCCGGCUAACUCCGUGCCAGCAGCCGC
Molecule: ribosomal RNA, 457 nt
Filed under: uncultured bacterium
Lineage: Bacteria
Description: SSU rRNA
Rfam family: Bacterial small subunit ribosomal RNA
Source: RNAcentral